UUUGGUUCGGAAAUACUGUGUCAGGGCAACAGCACUUUUCGUUUAAGCGCGUAAUAGCUCGGACUAUACUCAUAAAAUGCGCGUGACAGAAGAUCUGGCAGGUCAGCUGUUUUAGUUUACCAGAAUCGUUGGGAAAAUGAAACAUAUCGAUGAUAGAUCGUUUUUGCUGACAACGUAGAACGGAAAAUUAAGCGAUAACCGGAGCGUGCCUGAAAAUGACCGAAAACCCCCAGCUAAAGACGGAAAAAUUACAUUUCAGAAUGUGGAUUUAUAGUCACUGUUUUGUAGGAGGUCAAAAUAAUAUAACCGUAUAGAAGGUACGUUCUACUCUGUAGUUUGAAACACACAAAAUGCGAAUUUCAAAAAUUACUAACAGCUGGUUCAAUAAAGAUGUACGUUAUUGGGUCGAAUA
RNAcentral lists this small RNA (412 nucleotides) under Drosophila pseudoobscura pseudoobscura. Its description in RNAcentral is "GA31085". Lineage: Eukaryota; Metazoa; Arthropoda; Insecta; Diptera; Drosophilidae. The record is from RNAcentral.